CCUACGGGAGGCAGCAGUGAGGAAUAUUGGUCAAUGGACGAGAGUCUGAACCAGCCAAGUAGCGUGAAGGAUGACUGCCCUAUGGGUGGUAAACUUCUUUUAUAAAGGAAUAAAACGAGGCACGUGUGCCUUUUUGCAGGUACUUUAUGAAUAAGGAUCGGCUAACUCCGUGCCAGCAGCCGCGGUAAUACGGAGGAUCCGAGCGUUAUCCGGAUUUAUUGGGUUUAAAGGGAGCGGAGGUGGGAUGUUAAGUCAGUUGUGAAAGUUUGCGGCUCAACCGUAAAAGUGCAAUUGAUACUGGCAGUCUUGAGUACAGUGGAGGUAGGCGGAACUCGUAGUGUAGCGGUGAAAUGCUUAGAUAUAACGAAGAACCCCGAUUGCGAAGGCAGCUUACUAAACUGUGACUGACAUUGAUGCUCGAAAGUGUGGGUAUCAAACAGGAGUAGAUACCCUUGUAGUC
RNAcentral lists this ribosomal RNA (460 nucleotides) under uncultured bacterium. Its description in RNAcentral is "partial 16S ribosomal RNA". It matches the Rfam family "Bacterial small subunit ribosomal RNA", at positions 338 to 795 of the family's 1533-position model. The record is from RNAcentral.